This 376-nucleotide ribosomal RNA is filed under the name uncultured bacterium. RNAcentral's name for it is "bacterial SSU rRNA". It matches the Rfam family "Bacterial small subunit ribosomal RNA", at positions 523 to 898 of the family's 1533-position model. The record is from RNAcentral.
AUACGUAGGGGGCAAGCGUUGUCCGGAAUUAUUGGGCGUAAAGCGCGCGCAGGCGGCUUCUUAAGUCAGGUGUGAAAGCCCACGGCUCAACCGUGGAGGGCCAUCUGAAACUGGGGAGCUUGAGUGCAGGAGAGGAGAGCGGAAUUCCACGUGUAGCGGUGAAAUGCGUAGAGAUGUGGAGGAACACCAGUGGCGAAGGCGGCUCUCUGGCCUGUAACUGACGCUGAGGCGCGAAAGCGUGGGGAGCAAACAGGAUUAGAUACCCUGGUAGUCCACGCCGUAAACGAUGAGUGCUAGGUGUUGGGGAGUCCACCUCCUCAGUGCCGCAGCUAACGCAAUAAGCACUCCGCCUGGGGAGUACGGCCGCAAGGCUGAA